Molecule: ribosomal RNA, 170 nt
Filed under: Fritziana ohausi (Petropolis treefrog)
Lineage: Eukaryota; Metazoa; Chordata; Amphibia; Anura; Hemiphractidae
Description: partial 16S ribosomal RNA
Source: RNAcentral
ACGUGAUCUGAGUUCAGACCGGAGUAAUCCAGGUCAGUUUCUAUCUAUAAGGGGCUUUUUCCAGUACGAAAGGAUCGGAAAAGCAUGGCCAACACCCACUCAAGCCGUCACUAAUAACCUAUGAUACUUAAUAGGCACCUAGUCCCCCACCUAAGCUCCAGAAAAGAGCA